Long non-coding RNA from Rosa rugosa (rugosa rose), 1656 nucleotides. RefSeq lists it as uncharacterized. The record is from RefSeq and is a predicted model, not a curated record. The transcript has 9 exons. Lineage: Eukaryota; Viridiplantae; Streptophyta; Magnoliopsida; Rosales; Rosaceae.
UGUUAAGCUUGGACUGAUGCGUUGGUGGUCCUGUACCACGCGUCAAGUUCUCCUUUUGUAUCAGAUGGCACCCCAUCUGUAUAUCUUUGUACCCAGAAGCCAAUUUUGGCAUGGAUGAAUUAUGAAGAAACUUUGAAUUUCCCCACUUUAAUUUGCAUUAUCGUUUUGGCUCCAACACAAAUCUUUUAAUGAAGUAAGUAGACAUUUGUUGGGCUCAAAUUGAGUAAAUAGUUAAGAGCCCAGUUAAAAAAUGUGGAGUUUCUUCAUGUAUUUGAAGGACACACUUUAUCGAGUCUAUUUGCAGUAGUAGGAUCGGAAGAAUCACAUAUGAAAAAAAGCGGUAUGGAAUGCGGCGAAACCUGGAUGCCGGAAAUUAUCAAGGAAGCCAAGGAGGCGGAUCUUCAUGAAUCACUAGCUGGGAAAUUCCCUGUUGCUUUUGCCAAACCAAUGAGUGAUUUCGAAGGUCGGGCAGAAUCUGAAUUGUAUAGGGAUUUGCUGUACUCUUUGCAAGAUGCUGGGUGCCGGAUGAGGCUGCUGGGGGCAUUAGCAGUUUUCCUGAAGCCAACAAGAACAGGACUCAUGGUAGCAAGGGGGAAGAAUUAAACGGUACUGGUUACACUUUGGCCCAAUUUCUGACAGACAUCGUAGGUUUCACAUCAAAAGUGGGUUUUCAUACUGAUUUGGAUUCCAUCGAUUACCUUGAUGGGAAGAUGCUGAAAGAUGAGACCAAGACUGGUGUUAUGGAAUGGGAACCUAUGGGAUCGAAUCCCUUGUAUCAUCAGGUUGAGAAGAAGCAGCCGGGGAUCAAAUGGUUGAAUUUGUGGGACAGCGCUGAAGAAUCGGAGGACGAAUAAUCUGAGGACCAGGAAACCAAGGACGAGGAUCUGAAUCUGGCUGUUGAGAACUGCUCUGAUGGUAAACAAAAAUCUAAACUUUGUCAGAUCAAAACAAAUGAUGCUGGAGUGUCUUAUGUCCGUGUGGGCGACUAUGUGUAUGUGAAAGACUCUGAAAAGGAAGAAAACAGUGAAGAUGGAUAUAGUGAAGAAGAAGGAGAAGGUUGUCCCAUUUGUUUCGACCUGGAUCACAAUAACAAUAACUGCCCAUGGCUAGUUAAUGUUCCACCAGGUAAAACAGUUGGGCGUCUCUAUGACAUAGAAUGCAAGGGUUGUGGUAAGUUGGGACCUGCAUGCUGUUCUGAGGGAGGACGUGCUGUUCUCAGGAGGUGUGGUCAUUGUUAUGAUUUUGGUCACUGGGGGGACGUCUGCCCGAACUAUAAGUAUAUGCCCCUUUCGGCCUUCCCACAUUAUCCAUGACAAAUCCGCUAUCCCCUUUCUCUUUCUGCAAGAAAUCGAAUGCGUCCUCAAAAUAACAUUUCGUGUUGACACAAAAGCAACCGAGUGUUCUUUAUCUGCCUUUGUACUUGGCGCUUCGAGCUUGAUCAUUUAAGUGUUGAGAGUUUCUGAUUUGUAGGUUAUAUUUUAAACAGUGAAUUUGAUUUUCAGUUGGACUGGCCAUUAAAUUGUAAGCGCUAGCUAGCUUCUUAUGAUUCAGGUAUAGGUGUGGGUUAAGAUCGAUAUGCAUUUUGAUUGUGUUUAAGAUCGAUGAGAAUACCGUUGCACUUUGUAUUCUGUUUUAGACGAGUGUUACAAAUUGAUC